Molecule: transfer RNA, 66 nt
Filed under: Ogcogaster segmentator
Lineage: Eukaryota; Metazoa; Arthropoda; Insecta; Neuroptera; Myrmeleontidae
Description: tRNA-Glu
Rfam family: tRNA
About the family: Transfer RNA (tRNA) molecules are approximately 80 nucleotides in length.
Source: RNAcentral
GUUUAUGUAGUUUAAUAAAAACAUUACAUUUUCAUUGUAAAAAUAAAAAUUUAUUUUUCAUAAAUA